AUUAUGGUCUAAAAAAGUCAUUAGCUAAUCAGCAUUCAGAAAUCAAGUGGGAAAAUGUCCGCGAGACCAGAGGAACUUUGUGGAGUGAAAGAGGAGCCCCCACGUCACUGAUGCGUGACUGUGUGCAAACUAAUUCACGCUAAGAUCUAUAUGUCAGCCAAGCCCACUAUCCAUAGCACCCGGAGUCUACAUGCAUCAAGGACGAGGAGGAAGAGGCACCAUCCAUUAAGGAAGAGUUAAUACACAUUAAAGGUAAACCUGCAUAUGAAAUGCUGACAACACAUCCCGAUUGGUCACCGUCUCUCUUCUUGGGUUAUUCUGAGGUCAAGUGCACCACAUCGGAGCGUUAUGAGAGGUUGGAAAGGCGAAGAGUGCACGCUGAAACUUCUGUUUGCUGUUCUCUUACAAACAUGAGCCCAAGUGUUGUUGUGAAAGUCAAUAAAAUGUGAAUACCAAAACAUGACUUGAACA
Molecule: long non-coding RNA, 471 nt
Organism: Corythoichthys intestinalis (scribbled pipefish)
Lineage: Eukaryota; Metazoa; Chordata; Actinopteri; Syngnathiformes; Syngnathidae
Exons: 3
Source: RefSeq, a predicted model, not a curated record